GGGGUUGUGGCUCAGUGGUAGAGCACCUACUCAGCAUGCAUGAGGCACUGGGUUUGAUCCCCAGCACCACA
RNAcentral lists this transfer RNA (71 nucleotides) under Marmota monax (woodchuck). RNAcentral's name for it is "tRNA.Ala". It matches the Rfam family "tRNA". From Rfam's summary of the family: Transfer RNA (tRNA) molecules are approximately 80 nucleotides in length. Their secondary structure includes four short double-helical elements and three loops (D, anti-codon, and T loops). Further hydrogen bonds mediate the characteristic L-shaped molecular structure. tRNAs have two regions of fundamental functional importance: the anti-codon, which is responsible for specific mRNA codon recognition, and the 3' end, to which the tRNAs corresponding amino acid is attached (by aminoacyl-tRNA synthetases). tRNAs cope with the degeneracy of the genetic code in two manners: having more than one tRNA (with a specific anti-codon) for a particular amino acid; and 'wobble' base-pairing, i.e. permitting non-standard base-pairing at the 3rd anti-codon position. Lineage: Eukaryota; Metazoa; Chordata; Mammalia; Rodentia; Sciuridae. The record is from RNAcentral.